This is a long non-coding RNA of Plodia interpunctella (Indianmeal moth), 1901 nucleotides long. RefSeq lists it as uncharacterized. The record is from RefSeq and is a predicted model, not a curated record. The transcript is spliced from 2 exons. NCBI's taxonomy places the organism in Eukaryota, Metazoa, Arthropoda, Insecta, Lepidoptera, Pyralidae.
UGCAACCUUGCCGAAUGCGGCGACACAUCACCAUUUAAUUUAGUGUUAGAGUGUCAUUUGUGAGUAGGACAUGCGUUUGAUCCGCCACCACAAACAGUCCUCUGGGCGAUCGAACACAGAUCAUAUGGCUCCUAAAAUGAAAAAGUUGUCCCGAGAGGAAUUACUACAGAAAAAGAGAGAAGCAGAGCGACUACGAUACUUUAAAGAAGGGGAAAGAACAUUGUACUGUAUAUCGAGCCAAAAGACUAAGACUGAAAAACAUCACUAAUACUUUUGUUAGAGAAAAUAUGCCUUUAUCAGAUUCAGAAGCAGGUACUCCGUUUACAAGACCCGCCACUCCAGUUCCAGAUCAAAUAUUUCCAUUUGCUAGUCUCCAGCAAAGAAAAAAAGAAGCCACAAAGCGACGAAAGAAGUUUAACUAGGAAAGGAACGAAAAGAUCGUACGUUUAGAGAAAAAACUUAAAAGUAUAAAAAGAGAUUAGAGAGAUUCAAAAUUAAAAACAAAAAGAACGUUGAAGAUACACCUAAGACAAAGAUUUUGAAAAUGUUAGAUGAGCCUGAUCAAAGAAAAGAAGUACUUAAGAAAGCGUUGUUUGGCGACGUCAUUAGUAACCAGUUAAAGGAAAAUUAUACUACACUGAAACUUACAAAAGAGAGACCGAUCUUUUAAAAAGUUGUGACCUAGAGAAAUUAAGUCGUUGCCUAGGCCCGGAAAAAAUCAAAUCUCAAUGGCUUAGAUGUACCUAUAGCUAAACGAUGUAGAAUACCCGAUAUUGAAAACUUUACAUGGAACUACACCGAAAGUGGCCAUGGAAAAGGUGCACCGGAUGGUAUCGGAGCAACGUGCAAAAGAACAGCUGAUUUUGUUGUUAAUUCUGGAGGCGACAUCAAUAAUAUUGAUCAGUUUGUUAAAGUAAUCCGAGAGCGAUGUCAUCCAAGCAUUGGUCGAUAAAGUUGAAGAGGAAGCGGCCGAUCAGAAGGGUUUUAAAGGCACUUUGAAUGUGCAUCAGGUUGCAGGUAUUUAUUCCAGCUCCAUCCUAGGCAUUCCAACUAAACGUAUAACACUUACAAUGAAAAGUCUCAGUUGCUUUUGCAACAGCGGAUCUUGUGAGCAUUAUAAGAUUGGCAGUAUUAACUAUGCUCAAAAACCUAGAUGGACAGUAGAAAAAGUGUUUACUGAGUCAGAACCGGAAGAUUUCGAAUCUGCCAAGCCUGAAAUGAUACGUACGUCUCCUAAGAGGUUGGACGAUGAUAUUGCAGGAACGAGUGGUAUUGGGAAUUCAUGUUACAAUACUGGAGAUUACGUUCUUGUGAAAUAUCCAGCUAAAAAUAUAGAAUAUCGUUAUGCUGCCGUAAUUAAUGAUAUUGAUAACGAUGAAAGUGAGUUACGUGUUACUUUCCUCAAGAUUUGUGUUCAAAAAAUGCAGAUGUUUAGAAUAGAUGAUAAUGAUGUUGCAGAUGUGUCAUUUGAUCAAGUAGUCCAAAAGUUGGAUAAUAUUGACUUGAUUUUAAAAGGAAAGAGAAUAUUUUAUCAGUUUUCUACUCAAGCACAGGUUUUCGAGUGCUAUCUUGUUAAAAUGUUAAGAUCAUUGUGAUAAUUAAACAUUACUAUGUGCCUUAUUUGAUUGAGAAAAAUCUCAGAAUAUAUUACUUUAAGAGUAAAUACUUCCUAAUAAUUAUAUUAAUAAUAGUAUUUGACUAAUAAGACUGCAUAAAGCAUUUAAUAAUUGAUAUUAUAAUAAUAAGACUAAUGUUGAUCUCCGUGAGUACAAAAUGUUUUUAGCACUUAAGGUUAAUUUUUGAUAUGUAUGUUUAAAAAAAGUUUUUUUUGUUAAUCUUUUAUAAAGAUUAUUGAAACGAAAAUAUGUCAUAAAAAUAAUAAAUGAAUCAUUAAUGUAAAA